CCGGCACAAGUUGGGGGGUGGAAAGGGUUUACUGGUUUUGGAUGGGCUCACGGCCUAUCAGCUUGUUGGUGGGGUAAUGGCUCACCAAGGCGACGACGGGUAGCCGGCCUGAGAGGGUGACCGGCCACACUGGGACUGAGACACGGCCCAGACUCCUACGGGAGGCAGCAGUGGGGAAUAUUGCACAAUGGGCGAAAGCCUGAUGCAGCGACGCCGCGUGAGGGAUGACGGCCUUCGGGUUGUAAACCUCUUUCAGUAGGGAAGAAGCGCAAGUGACGGUACCUGCAGAAGAAGCGCCGGCUAACUACGUGCCAGCAGCCGCGGUAAUACGUAGGGCGCAAGCGUUGUCCGGAAUUAUUGGGCGUAAAGAGCUCGUAGGCGGUUUGUCGCGUCCGCUGUGAAAGCCCGGGGCUCAACCCCGGGUCGGCAGUGGGUACGGGCAGACUAGAGUGCAGUAGGGGAGACUGGAAUUCCUGGUGUAGCGGUGAAAUGCGCAGAUAUCAGGAGGAACACCGAUGGCGAAGGCAGGUCUCUGGGCUGUUACUGACGCUGAGGAGCGAAAGCAUGGGGAGCGAACAGGAUUAGAUACCCUGGUAGUCCAUGCCGUAAACGUUUGGGCACUAGGUGUGGGGGACAUUCCACGUCCCUCCCGCGCCGUACUUACGCAUUAAGUGCCCCGCCUUGGGGAGUACGGCGCAAGGCUAAAACUCAAAGAAUUGACGGGGGCCCGCACAAGCGGCGGAGCAUGCGGAUUAAUUCGAUGCACGCGAAAAACCUUACCAGGCUGACAUCCACCGGACCGCCCCAAAGAUGGGGU
Molecule: ribosomal RNA, 817 nt
Filed under: Kocuria dechangensis
Lineage: Bacteria; Bacillati; Actinomycetota; Actinomycetes; Micrococcales; Micrococcaceae
Description: bacterial SSU rRNA
Rfam family: Bacterial small subunit ribosomal RNA
Source: RNAcentral